RNAcentral lists this ribosomal RNA (363 nucleotides) under uncultured bacterium. RNAcentral describes it as "bacterial SSU rRNA". It matches the Rfam family "Bacterial small subunit ribosomal RNA", at positions 116 to 507 of the family's 1533-position model. The record is from RNAcentral.
CGUAGGAAUCUAUCCUUGAAUGGGGGACAACCGUGGGAAACUACGGCUAAUACCGCAUGAUGCCUGAGGGCCAAAGACGAAAGUCGUUUGAGGAGGAGCCUGCCGUCUGAUUUAGGUAGUUGGUGGGGUAAAGCCUACCCAAGCCUACGAUCAGUAGCUGGUCUGAGAGGAUGAUCGAGCCACAUUGGGACCUGAGACACGGCCCAAACUCCUACGGGAGGGCAGCAGUGGGGAAUAUUGGACAAUGGGCGCAAGCCUGAUCCAGCAAUGCCGCGUGGGUGAAGAAGGUCUUCGGAUUGUAAAGCCCUUUUGGCGGGGACGAUGAUGACGGUACCCGCAGAAUAAGCUCCGGCUAACUUCGUG